Molecule: non-coding RNA, 15818 nt
Organism: Callithrix jacchus (white-tufted-ear marmoset)
Lineage: Eukaryota; Metazoa; Chordata; Mammalia; Primates; Cebidae
Source: RefSeq, a predicted model, not a curated record
AUUUUAAGCCUGUUUGGGUUCCCACUGUUUAAUAAAUAUGCAUUAAUAGUAUAAAUUACCAUGUCUUCUUAUUCCCUGACUCCUCUCUUGAUUGAAUUUUUUCAUCCCUCUUAAGCUGACUAAAACAGCUUCUUUAGGAACUUUGUCUUUAAAUUUCUUUGAAGAGCCUAGAACUAAAUAUUUUUAGCCUAUUAGACCUAGCUCAUUUUUUUGUAACAUUUAGUCAUUCCUCAUUUACUAUCUUGAAGUGAAAGUCAAAGAUAAUACAACUCACCUAUACACAUAACUUGUAAAAAAAGUUUAUAUUUAAAUUCCUAUCUUUAGGAUAAAAGAGAAAGGUGCGGACAGUAAUCCAUGGUAAACUACUCUGAAUUUCAACCAUCGGUACUCUGGCACCACUAUAUGGGAGGCAUGCCGAAAUAGUAGGAUGUGUGUACCUCUCGCACAGCCACCAUGGGUACACCGCCCCUCAGCCCCAGGUGGACUGUCACAGGUGUGGGCCAGAUUUGAGCCAAGCAAGGCCCUAUUUAAUUUCCCAAAGUAUAAUUUCUCCUGUAUAAUUUCCCAGUGUUAUAAUUUUCCAAACUGAUGGUCAAUUGCUGUUAAAGCUCUGAACACAGCGAAGUACAGUCUUUCCUCAGCUUACAUGCUAAUACAUGCCUUGAAAAUGUUAGCUACUAAACUUGAGUAGAAAUAUUUUCUUUAUAUAGUAAACAGAUAGAUUCCAGACUUAGAGCAUUGUAAGUUUUUUAUCUCCAAGGAUGACAAGGGGGAGCAUUUGAAAGUCAGGUGAGACAUGGGACAGUUUUUCAUGGUGCAGGGGAGCCCCACACUUUGCAGGGCAUCAAGCAGGUUCUGCCUCCUGCUCAUGGAAUGUCAGUAGCAUCCUCCCCCAUCACUAGGAUGAUGAAACGCACCCCACAAAUUUUGAAAAAGCCUACACAGUGAGAAACACUAUUAUAGAACAUUGAGGAUGCUUUGUAAUGAAUGUGAUUUUGUUUUAUUAAAGAGUAUAAUUAUUGACAGCCAAUGCAGUACAUUGAGCUCCAUAGAGACAGUGCCGGGGCAAGUGAGAGCCGGACGGGCACUGGGCGACUCUGUGCCUCGCUGAGGAAAAAUAACUAAACAUGGGCAAGGGAGAUCCUAAGAAGCCGAGAGGCAAAAUGUCAUCAUAUGCAUUUUUUGUGCAAACUUGUCGGGAGGAGCAUAAGAAGAAGCACCCAGAUGCUUCAGUCAACUUCUCAGAGUUUUCUAAGAAGUGCUCAGAGAGGUGGAAGACCAUGUCUGCUAAAGAGAAAAAAAAAUUUGAAGAUACGGCAAAGGCGGAUAAGGCCCGUUAUGAGAGGGAAAUGAAAACCUAUAUUCCUCCUAAAGGGGAGACAAAAAAGAAGUUCAAGGAUCCCAAUGCACCCAAGAGGCCUCCUUCGGCCUUUUUCCUGUUCUGCUCUGAGUAUCACCCAAAAAUUAAAGGAAAACAUCCUGGCCUGUCCGUUGGUGAUGUUGCGAAGAAACUGGGAGAGAUGUGGAAUAACACUGCUGCAGAUGACAAGCAGCCUUAUGAAAAGAAGGCCGCGAAGCUGAAGGAAAAAUAUGAAAAGGAUAUUGCUGCAUAUUGAGCUAAAGGAAAGCCUGAUGCAGCCAAAAAGGGAGUUGUCAAGGCUGAAAAAAGCAAGAAAAAGAAGGAAGAGGAGGAAGAUGAGGAAGAUGAAGAGGAGGAGGAAGAGGAAGAUGAAGAAGAUGAAGAAGAAGAUGAUGAUGAUGAAUAAGUUGGUUCUAGCGCAGUUUUGUUUUCUUGUCUAUAAAGCAUUUAACCCCCCUGUACACAACUCACUCCUUUUAAAGAAAAAAAUUGAAAUGUAAAAAAAAAAAAAAGUAUAAUUAUUGUAGGAACCUAUGGUUUAGUCACCUCCAUACUGAAUGAUCAUCAUUUGUCUUGCUACUACAUCAUAAGCCUAUCAAGGGCCAACAUGUAUCUUACUGUGUCUAGGGGAUCCUACACAGUAUCAGGCAAUAUAUUGGUGAUUGGUCUGUUGAAUAAAUAAAAACUCAUAAACCAUCUCCUCUAUUUUCAAAGGAACUGAUAUCACUGUAAUUAGUAAUACAUACCACUGUUAUCAAGCUUCAUUGUUAAAAUAUUACUGUUAAGCUAUUAAUUGCUAGAUUGUAAAACCUAGAAAAUAGCCAAUGAUCCAUGCCUAGUUGGAGCAGGUUAUCUUUCUUUUUAUGUUGAAUUUUUUUAUUAAUAUCAUUUAAAAGUAACAUGUAAGAAAAAAGAUGCUAGCAACAUUUACAGACUGUGUGUUAUUUUCUCCUUUAAGGAAAAUUCUCUCUCAUUGUUACAAAACUAUAGAGAGCUUCUUGGUACAAUAGGGCAGAGAAAAACAAUAAAGAAGUCUCCAUCCCCUGGGGUGUUGUGAUCCAUUUGGAGUGAUGGACUACACAUCUAGAACCAUUAAAGCUAAUAACUAAGUGCCCCGUGGAAUAGUGAUGUUGACAGAUACAGUAAGAGUCCCAGGAAGGGAUUAUGAUGAGUAAUCAAGAUAGUCAGAAGGCUCAUGGAAUGAUAGGACUUUGAGCUCAUCUAAGUGAUGGGUGGAAUUUGAACUGGUGAAGAGGUCCACAUCUUCAGCAAAGGGAUAAAAAUGUAACAAAGGUUUAGAGGUGGCAGUUAACAUGAUAGGUGUGGAAGGCAGCCAGCAGGGCAGUGGCCAGGGAUGAUGGUGGGUUGGAGAAAGAGCAUGACUCUUGGGGAAAAAUGUAAAGAAAGUUGGUUGGCAGAGUGAGGGCCAAACUCAGAUUAUUUUGUUUUGGCCAAAAUUAACUUUAAAAGACCAGAUGUUAAUCUUAAAUGUUAUACCUUUUUAAAAAGUAUUCUUUUCAGAGGUUUGUUUUUAUUUUACUUAUUUGUGUCAGUAAAAAUAAAAUGUUGAUGGUCAGAUUUUAGAUUGAGUGCUUAGUAGUCAUACAAGUAUCAUAAAGCAAGAUUUAGGUAAGAGAAAAUGGUAUCUUUUGUUUUUAUUUACUGUAUCAUUUUAUAUUCCAUUAUAUUUUAUUGCCUUCAUUCAGUUAACUCAAGUUAGAAUAAAUGAGAAUACAAAGUUAAAGGAAGGCCGAGUGGAGAACUAAACUUGAAUUGGAAUCAGGAGUCACUGACUACUGUGCCAGCGUGGGCAAUAACUUUACUAUAAUGAACUUCCGUGUUCCCGUCUUUAAAAUGGUGGUAACACCUUAUCCAUAAACACACUACAGGUCCGUGGAUUCAGUGUCAUAACAGCCUAUUGUGGCACUAAGAAGGCACUUAACGGAUGUUAGUUCCCUUAUUGGAUUAAAAUGAGAUAUUAACUCCUUUAAGAUUAGGUACAAUUUGUGUUGAGUCAGUACCAUUAAAGCUUAUAAAAAUUUCAUCAUAUCAGACAAGUAUUUAUUAUGGGUGAUCCUGGAUUCUCUAAACUGCAGUUUCUUAAUCUAUAAAAUAGGGAUAAAAAUACUCGUAGAGUUAUGAGGAUUAAGUGAGAUAGUCAGCACAGUGACUGCUGUUACCUAGCAAUCAUACAGUAAGCACUAUCAUUAGUAUAAUGAUGUUCUAAUUAUGAUGCCUGCUGCAUGCUACACAUUUAUAUGGUCUCUGUAUUCACUGCAGUCCUCAGUGGCAUGUGUUAUUAAUGUUCCUAUGUUUAUAUGAGCAGGAACCAAAUACAGGGAACUUAAGUGACUUGCUCAGUUUCCAACUGGUUCAUUAGUAAGGUUGGACUUGACCACAGAUCUUCUGAACCCAAAUCAGGUGUGGUUUCACUAUGCCAGUGCUGCUUCAAGCCUUUGCAAUGUGUAGGAUAACCCUUUCCUUCAAAUCCCCUUUUAAAAAUGAUUUAUGACUGGAUGCAGUGACUCAUGCCUGUAAUUCCAGCAUUUCAGGAGGCUGAGGCAGGAGGAUCACUCAAGGCCAGAAGUUUGAGACCAGCUUGCUCAACACAGUGAGACCCAGUUGCUACAAAAAAAAUUUUGAAAAAAAUUAGCCAGUGGGCGCGGUGGCUUGCCCCUGUAAUCCCAGUACGUUGGGAGGCUGAGGAGGGUGGAUCAUGAGGUCAGGAGUUCGAGACCAGAGUGACCAACAUGGUGAAACCCGAUCUCUACUAAAAAUACAAAAAUUAGCCAGGCCUGGUGGUACGUGCCUGUAAUCCCAGCUGCUCAGGAGGCUGAGGCAGGAGACUGCUUGAAUCCCAGAGGUAGAGGUUGCAGUGAGCUGAAAUCGCACCACUGCACUCCAGCCUGGGUGACAGAGCGAGACUACUUCUCAAAAAAAAAAAAAAAAAACCGAGGCAUGGUGACACAUGCCGAUAGUCCCAGCUACUUGAGAGACUGAGAUGAAGGAUUGCUUGACCCCAGGAGAUCGAGACUGCCUUGAGCUAUGAUCAUGCCCCUGCACUCCACACUGGGUGAUGGAGUGAGACCUUGUCUCUAAAUAAAUAAAAAUGAUUUAUAUAAUGGUUUGGAAAUCACUGGAAAAAAUACUGGACCUUGCUUGAGACCCAGAGCCUCAAGUAACAUUGUGUAUAGUACCAGCCCUGCCUAGAGCUGCCUGUCCAACGAUGAAGGUAUAGAUGAAACAGAUAACCCUGUUCCUAGCAACUCCACUUUGUUUGCAGUGCAUCCCAGUGCCUUCAUGCUCACAGUGCAGGCUGUGGAAGUUGGGUGAGAAAUUUGACUACUAGGAUUUGUUCAACACAGUUUGCCUUUUACUAUUGAUCACUGCUUUCCAGAAUUGUAAACAUGUUUGCAGAACAAAGGUACUGCAAACCUAGACAUAUGUUGGGUUGCAGAAGUUGCCAUCAUAGACCCACAUGUAGUAUCAUUCUUGGCACAUAGAAUUUUAGCAAGUUGAAAACAAAGUUUGCAGGAGCAGGGAAAUGUUAAACAUCUGCCAAAGUGAAUUAUGAAGGAGAAAUUGUAUUUACUAAAAAUGUCUGUGCUUUUCAAUUACCUGAACAUUAUAAUGCUCAGUAUUUCAGGGUUAUGUGAAAAACCUAAAAUGUUAACAUUAACAUUGAAACUCACAUUCUUCAUUGGAGUGGAAGUUAGAAGGUGUCCUGUCUGUCUUACUCUUUUGCAUUCAAGGACAGGCUGAUUUUUUUUUGAGUUGCUGUAAGGUCAUCUGGUGAUUUUUUUUUUUUAAACCGAAUUGCUGUGAGAAAGUAUACAGCUCAUCUGCUGGCUCAGGAUCUGUGCCAAAAGAACCUUUGGAAUAACAACAGCAGAAUUCAUGAAAUUCCUGUGAGUUUCAUUCUGUUCUUUGAAUGCUGGCUUAUUGAAAGAUAUAUGGGCAGCCACAGGCACAGCUAGAAUUAGGCACAGCCAGAAUUCACCAUCUGCCACUACUCUUGGGAGUAUAGGAAGAUGAUGAUAAUGUUAAUAUUAUUAAUUAUUCAUCUUAGACAUUUAUUAAGACUCCACAGUCUUUGGCUCUUGGAGCUCAUGCUGUAAAGAGCUCGCUUUAAAAAACAAUAUAGAAUAAAUUUUACUUAAAAUUUACUUGUUCUCAAGUGUUAGAAGGUACAAUGGAUGGAUAACACAUUAAGGUUGAAAAAAUGCAAAAUAUAAGGGUAUGUAUGGCCCUGAUACUUUAAUAGAAUCUUUAUUUGAGAACAAAUGUAGACCUUUUCUAUGAGGUCUUUGAACAUGUUCUGUGAACAUACAGACUUUUUCUAUGAGGAAUACCUAUAUUUGAUUCAUUAAUAGAUGUAAAAUCAGUUUAAUAAAAUUUCAACAUUGAAAAAGGACCUUGGAAUAGCCUAGCCAUGUGCCCUGUGCGUGAGGCUUCUCAAUAACAUCCUCAUGGCAGAUGUGUUCAGCUUCUGCUUAAAUACCUCCCAUGACAGGAAACUCAUUAUUUCCAGAGGAAAUUGAUCCACUCAACAUAUUUACUGAGCACCUGUUUACUGUCUGAUCCAGUAGAGCUUACACGUAGCCAGAAGAGUCAGACAAUGAACAAUAGAUUCAAUUAAUAAGUAAAUUAUAUCUCAAGUUCAUUCCAUUAUCAGAUGUGUCAUUUAGUCAGAAAGCUUUGUCUUAUAUUUCCUUCCACAUAAUGAUUGUUUAGGUGUUUGAAGAAAGUAUUUGUUGCCCUCUCAAGUUGACCUCAUUUUCAAACUGUACGCUCCUGGUUGGUGAAACAGUUGUUCAUAUGUAUUAGUUUGCAAGGGCCACCAUAACAAGGUACCACAGGCUGUUUGGCUGAAACACCACACAUUUGUUUUCUCACAUUUCUGAGAGCUGGAAGUCCCAGGUCAAGGUGCUGGCAAGGUUGGUUCUUUAUGAGGCCUCUCUCCUGGCCUUAUAGAUCACAGUCUUCUCCCUGUGUCCUCCCAUGCUGUUUGUAUUUGUCUGUGUGAUAAUCUUCUUUUCUUUGUUGUUGCUGUUGUUGUUUUGAGACUGAGUCUCAUUCUGUCACCCAGGCUGGAGUGCAGUGGUACAAUCUUGGCUCACUACAACCUCCUCCUCCUCCCCGGUUCAAGCCAUUCUCCUGCCUCAGCCUCCCAACUAGCCGGGAUUACAGGUGCCUGUGGAUUUCACCAUGUUGGCCAGGUUGGUCUCAAACUCCUGACCUCAGUUGAUCAUCCUGCCUUAGCCUCCCAAAGUGCUGGGAUUUACAGGAGUGAGCCACCAUCCCCAGCCACUAAUCUUAAAAGGACACGAGUCAUAUUGGAUUGGGUCCACCCUAAUAACCUUGUUUUAUCUUAGUUGUUACUUUAAAAGCCCUGUCUCUAAAUACAGUCACAUUCUGAGUACUGAGGGUUGGGACUUCAACAUAUGGAUUUGGGGGGCACAAGUUAGCCCCUAACACAUAUCCCUUGUCUGUUAGAACCCACAGACAUGGGAGGGUAAUUCCAUGGAUAAAACCAGGCAAGAUGGUCCCAUCCCAUGUUCUAGGCAUCUAGAGUACCUUUGAUAGUCCCAGUAUGGUUGACUGAUACUGAGCUUGCAGUCUAUGAGAAAUCCCAAGUCUCUAAACAGCUUGUUUUUUAGUCUUGUCUUAACCUAUCCUUUGCAUACUUUAUUCUUUUGGCUAGUUAUGCUGGGGAUACAGCAGGGAACCAAGUAGACAUUGUCCCGGCUCUUUUGGAACUCAACAUAUAUUAGUGAAGACUGUCAGUGCACAAGUGAACAAACAAAUAUGUAGUUAUAAAUUGUAAGAUGUACGAUAAAGUGAAUGAACAGAUAAAUAAGAGACGAGCCAUCCUACUCUUGAUAGUUUGUUUUGGUUUGUUUGUUUUGGGUAGGGUAUGGAGCUUGGCAUUUACCCUGAAAUAAAAUAUUAUUUUUAAUAUAUCUGGCCUCUUAUUGCACCCUACCCUAACUAUUUGUAGAAGAGAUCCUGGCUGUUAUUUGUUAUAUUUAGUGCCUCCAUCCUUCUUCGCUUUAUUCCUAAAUGUGAUAAGUGUGACACCUCUGGCUUUUUCCAGAGCAUUAAUAAAAAUGUCUAACGGGACAGAACAGUACCAUUGUCGUCCUAGAACUAACAGUAAUAUCCGUUAGCUACACAUAGAUAAAAGUCCAGCCAGCAUAUGUAAAGUGAGACUCUUAUUAGAAAUAUUAACAAGAUUAACGCUGCCCUCUGCUAAGUUUUCUGUUUCACCAGCCGAGUCUUAAAUGUUCAUCUGGCUGUACCACACUGAUCACAAAAGGCCUUUCAAGUUGUUUGCCUGAUGAUGUUUAAAGGCCAAACUCAUUUAAAGUAUUUCACCCAUCAUGUGGGGAAGUAGAAGUUGUUUUUAGUCUAACCAGAAGGAACAUCAUUGACAAACCAGAAUACCUACGUUUUGCAGGGCCAAGGCUCCAAGGUGAUGUUCAUCAGCUCCUUUCAUAAGGAUCUAAUGUGCCCAUAUAGCCCCACUCCAGUCACCCAGGAAGUGUAUGUCCAAGGCCAGCACCUACCCAGGCUAAUUCCACGAUGCCCUCUCUCUCCUUAUCUUGGGCAUCCUUGGCGUUAAUGGCCAGUUCUGUACUUGCUGUCCUGGCUCUACCUGGUUUCCCACACAGACAGUUCCCAUGUUUGUGCUCGGCUAAUGAACCCAGUUUUUUUGAGUAAGAGGCACCCCAGAUCUCUCAGCUAAUGGUCCACUGAGCUGACUCUCUUUUUAGUUGGGGUAGGGAGGGUUAAUCAAAUUUAGACAACUGGGGAUUGAACAGAUCAUCCAGCAGGUACAUCAACCUUGGUUAUCAUAGGGUUACCCACCCAGAGCAGUGGAGAAAAUGAAAUGUUUUUAGAGACAGUCAUACUUGACCUUUAAUUUAGCAUGGACCAUAGCUUGUCAGGGUUCAUCAGCAGAGCGGUACUGUUGUAAGCGUUUGCUAAUGUAGAUAUUAUUUGACAUUAGUUUACUUGCUGAUUUGACACAUUUUCAUACAACAUAUAGUAAGCCAAAUUGCAACACAAUGUAUGUAUUUAUUUAUUGAAUAUUCCUUAAACACCUUAAACACCAGAACAUGCUAGGCAUUGUUCUGGAUGCUAAAAUUAUAGCAGUGAAUAAAAUAGAUACAGUUCCUUCCCUCGCAGAUCUUAUUUUCUGGCGGGAGAGGGUGGGAGACUAAGACCAUGAAAAUAUGUGUUAUUCAGAGAGUGAAAUAUGCUUUGAAUAAAAUAUAGCAAGGGAAGAAAGUUACAGUGACAGGGGUAGGACAUUUGACCUUAUUUUAGAUGGUCAAGGAACAUCUUGUUGAUAGGCAGAGACCUGAAGAAAGAGAAAGAGCAAACCAUAUGGACACCUGGAGAGAAGGAGUUUGGGCAGAAGGAAGAGCAAAUGCAAAGGCCCUGGGCUCAGUGUGUUCAAGGAAAAGCAAGGAGGCCACUAUGGCUGGUGUGGGGCCGCAGCUUAUUCUACACUGCUGUAUUUCAGAAAGUGUAGCAAAGAACCAGAUUGCUCUUUGCUAGACUUGCCCUAUUUUGUUGUGGUUGUUAACUAAAAGUUAAUGAGAAAAGAGUGUUUUGGGGUUUUUUGAGAUGGAGUUUUGCUCUGUCACCCAGGCUGGAGGGCAGUGGCACAAUUUUGGCUAACUACAACAUUUGCCUCCUGGGUUCAAGUAUUUCUCUGCCUCAGCCUCCUGAGUAGCUGGGAUUGCAGGUGCCCACCGCCACGCCCAGCUAACUUUUUUGUAUUUUUUAGUAGAAACAAGAUUUCACCAUCUUGGCCAGGCUGGUCUUGAACUCCUGACCUUGUGAUCCAUCCGCCUCAGCCUCCCAAAGUGCUAGGAUUACAGGCAUGAGCCACCACACCCAGCCAAAAAAGUAUUUUUUAUACUGCUAACUCUGUGUUCUUAAUUGGCUAAGGAUUUAACGUGUGUGUGUGUGUGUGUGUGUGUGUGUGUGUGUGUGUGUGUGUGUCUGUGUGUUUAGGUAUAUAUUUAAGACAUACCUUUUUAUGCUUCAAUGUGAGCUUGUGAAAGUUAGUAGUUUACCUGAUAUAAAAGCCUUCCUAAUCCAUUAUGCAGCCUGUGAUUAGCAAUCAGUCCUACAACUGCUAUUAUUUUCAUCCUCCAAGUAAAGCGUAGGAGUUAGGUAAGUGUCAGAGUAGUUUAAAAUUUGAAUAAGAACUCAAAUUCUUUACUGAUUUUCUUCUAUACCUACACCUAACUUCUAUAGAAACUAUCUCUUUAGUGGUGAAUGAUUUAAUAAGCAAAACCUGGGGUGAGUUUACUUCCUGAGGCAAGUUUAGUUUUUAGACAUAGUUGGCUUGCCCUGAGCUGCCCUUGGCCUAUUUCUGGGCAUUAUGCAUCCUGAGAAAUAUUGGGAUUUUUUUCUAUAACAGAGUAAACACUUCUCAUGCUUCUAAGUGUAAUAGGGCCCUAAGAGGUGGCCCUAUCCGGCGCAGAGUGUGCAGGUGAUGGUGGGCAUGGCUCAGCCUGUGCUGUCUGUGUGCUUCUAAUAUCCCAGUGCGGCUGUGCCUGUCCACUAACCUGCCGGUUACCACAGCAGAUAACAUAGUAGACUCAGGUUUCAAGAAGAGCAGCCACCCAGAGCAAAUGAAUAAAACUGUAACUACUUCAUGGUUAGGCUCUCGGAAAUGCCACUGAUAUAACCUCAGUUGGUCCUCAGAAGAAAGUCUGCAAAAACGAUAACAAUGCAUGAACUCAUUCCCUGACCGUAACCAUCAUAUUUAAAUGCCACAGUUUCUCCAUGUGGGAAAUUCAGAGACGUUGUGGACCUUUGCAUGAUGUGAAAGUGUGUUAAUUAGCUAGCUAGCUCCUUUUUGGAAAAGAAAACCUCAGAGUAAAACAUAGCAUUCUUUCUUGGCUGGAACUGCUCCUUCAUGAAUGAUCAGCCAGGUAAGCGUGUUCAGUAAAAUUAAGCCUCGCCAUUGGCAAGUGUUUGGAGAGCACUAGAAGGUUCAUGGAUACAUCCUGCAUCUGCCUUGUUGUUUUCUAAGGGGUGAACAUAUGGCAUUUAAGGAAAUUUUGUGGUUAGUAACAGAAGAUUUCAAAAUUAAUCUCUAGAAUUUAUAUCUCUUAGAUUGGAUAUUUUGAUAAAAACAAUAUUCCAUACUGUCAUGUGAUUUCUAGCCUUUGGUUUGUAUGAAACAAUUGUUUCACUGUUUCUGUAGAUUUCUAUAAGAAAUCACUUGGCAGAUACAUAGCAAAAGAAUGUUAUAUUUUACAUAUUUAAUGUAUUGAAAGGGAUGCUAUCAUACCCUUUGCUUUUGGGCUCACGCACAAAAAUAAACCUCAUGCUUAUAUUUAAAUUUAUUUUUUCACCUAGCAUGUUUUAGAAUCUGUUGUGUGCCAGGCACUAUGCUAGAUGCUGGUAAUUCAGAAAUGAAAGGCACAGCCUUCCACUUCCAUCAAGGAGCUUACAAUUUAGUGGGGAGACAGCAAAGUAAACUACAAAUGCAAGACCAGGUAACAAGUACUACUGGAGCCCAAAGUAAGGGCAUUUCACUUUGCCUGGGGAGGUCAGUCAGAGCUUCCCAAAAACAUGGGUAAGGGUUAGAGCUGGAAUUAAGAGGAAGGAAAAGCAAAAUGCAUAGUGCAGGGCCUGAGAGUAGUUCACAGCCUGGUGUUUUGUCAGACUUUCAGACAGUUCCCUGUAGCUGAAGCACACGGCUGCAUGAAGUUAGAGAGGUGGGAAGGGGUCUUGUAUGGCAACCAAGGAUUGAGCUGGAUCUCAAAAGGGAUUGAGAAGCAGUGAACAAUCUGGCAGCAGUUAUGAGGACUGAGCCAAUUGGAAAGCUAUUGCAUUGAGCCAGGUGAAGUAUUACAAAUACCAUAAUUAACAGAACAAUGGUAAGAAUGAGGAUGAGAAAACAGAUACAAGAAAAUUUUAAGAGGUAGAUUCAACAGGGUUUGCUGAGUCUUUGAAUCUGAGGGGUGAGAGGGAAGAAAAGCCUUCAAUUUCUAACUUGAGUGUCUUAGUAAAUGAUGAUGUCAUUCAGGCAAUAAAGGAGAAAAGAACUGGGGAAGAAGAUUGCUUAGCUCAGAUGUAGCCGUGUUGAAUUUCAGGUACCUGAGGAGUAUCCAGAUUGAGGUGGAUGAUAAGAUAUAAGGAGGUAAUAUACGGAUGUGGACUUCCACAGAGAGGUCUGAGAUUUAAAAGCAAUUUGGGAAACAACUGAAGCUGUGGGUUCAGAUGAAACACCCUAGGCAGUAUUUAUACGUAAGAAGGAAAGGGGCUGAAUGUGGAGCUCUGAGGUACUCUUGCAGGCAGGGACAGAGAAGGAACCCCUAAUGCAAAGAGACAAAAUAGUCACAGAGGUAGGAGGACAGAGGAGAUGAAUGUCAUAGUAGCCAAGUAAAAUGAACAUGUCAAAAAAAGACUUGGCUGGGCACGGUGACUCACACCUAUAAUCCAGCACUUUGGGAGGCCGAGGCAGGAGGAUCAUGAGGUCAGGAGUUGGAGACCAGCCUGGCCAGUAUGGCAAAACCCCAUCUCUACUAAAAAUACAAAAAUUAGUCGGGUGUGGUGGCAGGCGCCUGUAAUCCCAGCUACUCGGGAGGCUGAGGCAGGAGAAUUGCUUGAACCCGGGAGGUAGAGGUUGCAGUGAACCAAGAUUGAGCCACUUCACUCCAGCCUGGGCAACAGAACGAGACUCAAAAAAAAAAGAAGGCUUGACCAGUGAUGCCAAAUGCUGUCAAGAGACCAAGUAGGGUGAGGACUGGAAAGUUCCAUAGGGCUUGGGCGUUGUUGGUCAUGACACACUCAUUCCCAGUGUGCUGGAAUGACAGUAAAUUGGAAUGUAGGAGAUUAGGAAGGAGAGACAGACAGGGUCGUUUUUAAGAAACUUGGCUAUGAGGAGUAAAAGUGAAAUAACUAAACAUGAGGAGGGAAGGCUGUCUGCUGCUUGUUGCCACUGAAUCUGUCAAGCUGAUUUCUCCCAAGCUGAGUAAACAAGAGCAGCAAGGGAUGCCCUGCCCCCCAUCAACAUUCAAAUCAACAGGAUCUUACUGUGUUUUAAAGGAUAAGGUUGGCCAAUCCUAGUUAGACACCUGUCCCGGGGCUUUGUAGUAACUCCAGAUACUCUUAAGUAAAAAAGAGUUUCAGAACUUACUAGAGUUGUUACAGCUUUGAUAUAAGUAGUCUUUAGUAGACCUAAAACCCUUCCUUUGAAUAGCAUGCUUGUGAAAUAGCUCCAGUGAGAAAUGGCUUCUUUAACACACAAGAAGUAACAGGAUCAGUGUCUCAACUCUCUGCCUCAACAGGCAUUUGAGGGUACACAAAGGGGCAUUGGAUUUUAGUCCAUCCAGUUCUCCCAUCAGUGAGGACCUUGGAUACAUUGUUUACAGCUUGGCCUUGAGGUUGUCAUCUAUAUCGUGAGUGGAUUUGCUUCAAUGACUUAUAAGAUCUACUCCUCCCAGAUCUGCUGGAUUUUGAGCCUGUCUUCAGAGCUUCCCUUUGUUUUCCCUUUCCCCAUACCUCCCAUGCAUUUCCUUUUCUUCCACAUAUAAAGCUUCUGCAGCACCCAAGUCCGCAUUACACUGGUAGGAAAAGAGCCCCAUCUACAGCUGACAUGGUCAGAGGUUAUGUCAGGGAAGUAAGAAGUCAGACAUUGAGAAAAUUGAGACUGUUCUUCUCCAGCAGCUUACUUUCCUUGGCUUUUCUCCACCCUUUGCUGCCAGCUUAUUCUCCAUCAUGCUUCUCUUAGUCCAAAUGGGACUUUGUUCAAACAGAUACCCAAGGGCCUAAAAAAAAAUGAACAGCUUUUUGCAUGGGGAACACUAAAGGCCUGAAGCAGCCAGGGUAAAGUCACUGACCUGCUCUGACUCCCUGCCAUGGGUGAGAAGAUCUUCAUUCAUUCAUUUAACCCCAUGCUGUUCAUUCAGUAAUUUCCUACUAAGUGUCUACCAUGUGCUGUGUUUGCUGUGUUUCCCUUGUGUCCUAGAACACAGGAGUAAGAUGCUGACCAAAAUAAACAUAGAAUGUACCUAGUGAAAUUUAUAGUCCAAACAGGGAGAAAGCAUGUUGAAAACUAGCUACACAAUAAAUGCAUAACUACAAAUUGUGAUAAAGUAUUUGUAUCAAUAAGAAAUGUCAACCGUGGCUCUGGAUUUAGACCAGGAAGUUAAGGGAAGGCUUCUCUGAGGAAGCAAUACUUAGAUGGAUGAAGGGCAAAUAGAAGUUAGUCAAGGGAAGAGGAAAGUGCCUCUAGGCAGGUGGAGCAGCACUGCUGAGCCCUGAGGUGCAGGAGUCCCGGGUGGCAGGGACGGUGCAAGAUGAGAUUGGAGAGGUAGGCAGGGGCCAACUAUGCCACACCUGAAAAACCAGGAAAGUGUAAGGUCAUGAAAGCAAGAAAAGAGUUGCAAGAAGAAGGGUGUGGAGCUACAUCAAAUGCUACCGAGAUGCCGUUUCAGUUAAGGGCUGAGAAGUGCCCACUGGCUAAGUGGAAGCUGUUGAUCACCUUAGUGGAAGUGUGGCCAGGAAGUCAGCCUGAAAGGGGCUGAAGGGGGAAGCGGGGUGGAGAGAGGAACUGAAGGCUGCGUAUAAAGGCAGCUUUGUUGAAACAUUAAGUGAAGAUUGGGAACUCAGGAAGGUAAGCUAGGAAUUUGUAUUAGUCUGUUCUCUCAUUGCUGUAAAGAAAUAACCUGAGACUGGAUAAUUUAUAGAGAAAAGAAGUUUGACUCAUGGUUCUGCACACUAUACAGGAAGCAUAGUAACUUCUGCUUUUGGGGACCUCUCAGGAAGCUUCCAAUUGUGGCAGAAGGCAAAGGGAAGCAGGUGUCUUACACGGCAGGAGCAGGAACCAGAGAGAGUGAGGCGGGAGGUGCUGUACACUUUCAAACCACCAGAUCUCAUGAGAACUCACUAUCAUGAGGACAGUACCAAGAGGAAUGGUGCUAAGCCAUUCAUGAGAAAUCUACCCCAUGAUCCAGUCACUUCCCACCAGCCCCCAUCUUCAACACUGGGGAUUACAAUUGAACAUGAGAUUUAGUGGGGACACAGAUCCAAACCAUAUCAGAAUUAGAAGGACAUGUGGGAUAGGGAAAGGUUCUUGGUUUUUUGUUGUUUGCUUUUAAGACAAGAGGUAUUGGCUAUGUUUUCAUUAAGGCAAGAAAGAUUUCAUAGAAAGGGAAAGGUUAAGAUGCAAGAGACCCAUAGGAGUGAGACUCUUGGGCACGAGGCGGAAACAGGGUCAGGAGAGGGGACAAAGGUGGCUUUGUGGAUUUGAUAGCAGAAAAAUGAGACUUUCUAUCUGGUGCCAUAUAGGAGGCAGGGUCAUCCCUGAGAGCAAGAUGGGAGGAGAGAAACAGGAAGGCUGUGGAGCAGUCAGGACAGAAGUGACUGUUGCAGUGAGGGAUGCUUGCUGGGCUCAGGAAGGCCUAGUGGGGAGGCCUGCUUCCCCGACUUGCCUGUGGGGUUUUCUACUCACCACCUGCCCCAUUGGCCCUGCCAGUGUUCUUAGAAGCAUGUAAGAAUGGGGUUUAGAUUUUGUUCCCCAUGUUUUUCCAAUGCCAAAUUGUACCACGUUAUAGAAUUUCCGACAGAUCUUGAAUACUCUGAUGUGGGAGCAAGUGUUUCCUGCUCUGGUAAUUUGACACUAUUUGAUUUCAAAUUAAUUUCAUGAUUUGUUUCCUGCCUUUGGCCUCAUCAUUUGAAAAUUCUGUGAUUUGAUGUCUCUCUUUUCUUGUUGUUUUUUUGUAACUAUGUCUCACAGUUUAGAGCCUUCCAUUUCAUUUUUAUAGAACAUGUGAUAAAGUUGGAAUCUUUCAUGCAAGCCCACUUGCAAAAAUAUCCAAAUAUUUUUGCCGUAUGCAUUUCUUGGCAUCCUCUCUCUCUCUCUCUUGCUCUGUGUCUGUCUGUCUGUCUCUCUGUCUCUCACCUUGAGGCAGCAUUCGUGGCAAUAACUGGAAUGUCUGCUGGACCCUUCCUUUCCCUCUCUCUUUUCUCCCCUCUAUACAGCUGGUGCUCACCAGGUCCCUGCUGCUGUUCUGUCGCUUGGCUUUGUAUCAUAUUGAGUUUCUGCCCUGUGUUCUCUGUCUUCUUUAUAUAUUAACUCCAGAUCCCUGCCACUUUUUUUCCUGGCACCCACAGUCUUUUUCUUUCUUCCAAUGACAGUCAGAAGUUUGGGGGGAGCCCUUUUGGAAGCAACAAGUUGUUUGGGGUUCAUAAGUUCAUACCAAGUAUGAACUUGAUCUUUAGAAAUCAGGCAGGAUGAGGAACGAAAUGAAUAUUUUAUGAACAUCUACUGGUAUUAGACGCACUUCUUAUGCCACCUUAUAUUAACCUUUACCAUAGCUCUGUGGUAGGGAGUAUUGUUUUGAUUUUACAGUCAAUCAAAGGAAGCCUCUUUGCUUAAAGGGAACCUCUUACGUCACCCUCUUUUUAAUUUAACAUGAGU